This 855-nucleotide ribosomal RNA is filed under the name uncultured bacterium. Its description in RNAcentral is "bacterial SSU rRNA". It matches the Rfam family "Bacterial small subunit ribosomal RNA", at positions 8 to 859 of the family's 1533-position model. The record is from RNAcentral.
AGAGUUUGAUCAUGGCUCAGAUUGAACGCUGGCGGAAUGCUUUACACAUGCAAGGCGAACGGCAGCACGGACUUCGGUCUGGUGGCGAGUGGCGAACGGGUGAGUAAUAUAUCGGAACGUGCCCAGUCGUGGGGGAUAACGUAGUGAAAAUUACGCUAAUACCGCAUACGAUCUAUGGAUGAAAGCGGGGGAUCGCAAGACCUCGCGCGAUUGGAGCGGCCGAUAUCAGAUUAGGUAGUUGGUGAGGUAAAGGCUCACCAAGCCGACGAUCUGUAGCUGGUCUGAGAGGACGACCAGCCACACUGGAACUGAGACACGGUCCAGACUCCUACGGGAGGCAGCAGUGGGGAAUUUUGGACAAUGGACGCAAGUCUGAUCCAGCCAUUCCGCGUGCAGGACGAAGGCCUUCGGGUUGUAAACUGCUUUUGUACAGAACGAAAAGGUCUCUAUUAAUACUAGGGGCUCAUGACGGUACUGUAAGAAUAAGCACCGGCUAACUACGUGCCAGCAGCCGCGGUAAUACGUAGGGUGCAAGCGUUAAUCGGAAUUACUGGGCGUAAAGCGUGCGCAGGCGGUUAUAUAAGACAGAUGUGAAAUCCCCGGGCUCAACCUGGGAACUGCAUUUGUGACUGUAUAGCUGGAGUGCGGCAGAGGGGGAUGGAAUUCCGCGUGUAGCAGUGAAAUGCGUAGAUAUGCGGAGGAACACCGAUGGCAAAGGCAAUCCCCUGGGCCUGCACUGACGCUCAUGCACGAAAGCGUGGGGAGCAAACAGGAUUAGAUACCCUGGUAGUCCACGCCCUAAACGAUGUCAACUGGUUGUUGGGUCUUCACUGACUCAGUAACGAAGCUAACGCG